RNAcentral lists this ribosomal RNA (436 nucleotides) under uncultured Comamonas sp. Its description in RNAcentral is "bacterial SSU rRNA". It matches the Rfam family "Bacterial small subunit ribosomal RNA", at positions 940 to 1382 of the family's 1533-position model. The record is from RNAcentral. Lineage: Bacteria; Pseudomonadati; Pseudomonadota; Betaproteobacteria; Burkholderiales; Comamonadaceae.
UGUGGUUUAAUUCGAUGCAACGCGAAAACCUUACCACCUUUGACAUGUACGGAAUCCUUUAGAGAUAGAGGAGUGCUCGAAAGAGAGCCGUAACACAGGUGCUGCAUGGCUGUCGUCAGCUCGUGUCGUGAGAUGUUGGGUUAAGUCCCGCAACGAGCGCAACCCUUGUCAUUAGUUGCUACGAAAGGGCACUCUAAUGAGACUGCCGGUGACAAACCGGAGGAAGGUGGGGAUGACGUCAAGUCCUCAUGGCCCUUAUAGGUGGGGCUACACACGUCAUACAAUGGCUGGUACAAAGGGUUGCCAACCCGCGAGGGGGAGCCAAUCCCAUAAAGCCAGUCGUAGUCCGGAUCGCAGUCUGCAACUCGACUGUGUGAAGUCGGAAUCGCUAGUAAUCGUGGAUCAGCAUGUCACGGUGAAUACGUUCCCGGGUCUU